CUCGAACAUCGAUUGCAGGAAGCGCGCGUAAUUUGUUCGCGCGAAAUCUCAUCAUGUUCGUACCUCUCACUCCUGUCCUAAAGGUUAUUAUUGCUAUGAGCCUGAAGUUAGAAAGAAGUUUCCACGCACAUUUCACUCAUUACAAAAGAGGAUAAGCCAUAAUUCCCCAGAUCCACCCAACAGACAAGUCAAACAGAUUCUGUGGAAGAGAGCCAGCCUUCUCCCAUCAAAACCAUCACAAUUGCAGCAAGUGAUCAUUGUUACCAGAUCAUUCAGUCCCCAAAAAACCAGAAGAAUAAACUGAGAUGGAAGGAUGUCAAGUUGCUGAGUUGCAGAAAAGGUUGAGGUUGUCUUAACAAAGCAGUUGUCCUUUGAAGGUUCGAGUCCAGUCCCUACAAAGUGUCAUCAAGUGUUUGAGAUAAAAACAUUUGAUAUCAGUUGGGUGUGAUGAAAUGCCGAAGCAGUCAUUUUCUGGUGUCCCUGUUGAAUUGAUAAGUCAUUGCAAUUGUACAAUUCAUUUGCACUUUCAUCUGCAUCUGCAGAACGUGCUUGUUAACCUAAUUUUGGUAGGGGACGUGUCAUUUUUGGUUAAAAAAUUUGGACCCAUAAUUCCGCAUGUGUCUGAAAAAUGUGAGCCAUGAUUCCGCAAACAUGAAAACUAUACCCAUUAUAAGGCCUGGCCGUUUGAGGCGAGCGAUAGCUCGCUCUCGCCUCCACGCUCUCCUCGCAACCUGAGGAGAGCUAUGAAUUGCCCUCCUAAACAGAACAUGAAGGAAGAAUCGCUCCCCUAAAAUUUCCUAUUCUCCCGUCAUUACAUUUUUUGAAGUUAACUUUUUGUUUGUUGGGCGGUUUUUGUUAUGAUAGGCAUAAACUUCGAUCUAUUUGGAAAAGGAUAGUUAACCGAAAGGUACGUUUGUAGCGAUUAGAACCUUUCAAUUUUAAGAAAACAAGAAUAUUUUUGGAAGGAAAGUCGAAGAAAUUGGCAGGAAUUGUAGAUUGGGGAUAUAAUAAGACAGCAGGCCCCCUUCCAGCAAUAGAAACAAAACUAUUCCUCAAAGAGAACAAGGUACUCUGUCUUGCAGAUCAAAAACGACAACCAAAACAUGGAAUUCCACUAUCCAGCAGCAUUUACUGAAAAACCCAGAUUGGGUGAAAAACUAUAAUGGUGACAUGUUUGGCAUUAAUGGCAAAGCCUGAUCAUCGUUCCUUCUAGCAGUUUGUGAAUCGAUCUACUAUAUAAACAUGACCGACCGCUUCUGUGUAGACAUAAGUGAGUUCGUUUCCACCUUAGGACUCCGUUGGUAACAACUUCAAUAGGAAAGCGGCAGUGAUUGGACAACCUCAACAGUCAUGUGCUCGCGUUUUCUGAUUGGCCUAUUUCGAUCCAAAACUGGGUAUAUGUAUUUCUUAGAGUAGUGUUUUCGAUCUAUGUUCUGACAUUUUAUUCUCUGAAGAGUGCUAGACGUAUAACUUCAGCUUGUUUUAAAAAAAAAAUUUUCAAAGCCAUUUUCAAAUUCUGUACAACAAAAAGAUUGUUUUGCAAGAGAAUGGUUGUUUUUGUGUUGUGCCAGCUUUACAUGAAACUGAAAGAGUCUGUUCUUUUAAAUACUUCAAGUAAAGGGGGUGCCUAAGUCACGGUUAAAGCAAAUACAAAUUGAAAGAAGUAAAACAGCACACUCCUGACUGAGGCAAUUACAUUAAGGCAACCGACAGAUACUAAAGGGGCUUAUUAAGUCAUCUGUCGAUUGUCUUUAAAGAACAUUCUAUGUGUUACUGAUUUAGCUCGCCUCAGCAAAUGAGGGGAGCGAUUCACAGCUCACCUAAAAAAAUACAAACGGCCAAGCCUGCAUUAUUCUGCAAAACAAUAACAUUUUUAAAGCACAAAAUCACCAAACAACUUUUGCAUGUCCUUUGUCAAAAAUCUCAAUAUUGCACAUAUUUCUCACUUUCAUAUCUAACUGGCCAUUCAUUUUGUUAAUGCUAAAUAUCCCUUCUGGUAAUUUUGCAACAUUUUUCGAAAAUAUUGCACAUAGUUCCGCACAUAUUUCAAAAACUGAUACCGAUAAUUCCGCACUUUUCAGAAAAGGGUACCCCUAAAAAUUGGUAAGUCGCCCUACCUUUAAACAUGUUAAGGUACCCCCUCCCCCCCCCACCCCCAGCAAAAGCCUAAACAACAGAAUGGGAAAUUUUAGAGUGUCCUUUUAGAUUAAACGUUUUAUCGGUACCAAAGUAAUAUGUUAUAAUUUUGUUGUUUACAUCAUUCUUUGUUACAAUUCUAAUAUUAGUCUUUGAAAAUGUGCUCUUUUUGAAAAGCUGCCCCCGCCGCCUCAAAAUGCUUCUGGGGCCCCUGGUGAUGCAUUUUGUAAAAAUUACUAAGAAAAUGAAUGCGCUCCAGUCUCUUCAAGUACGGCAAGGCCCCAAGGUAGACGCUACAGUGCGGUAUAAAUGCUGGGCCGGAGAAUGACAUGAACCCGUAACCGUAACCCUCACCAACCCCAACUAAUCUUUUUCAUUUCAUAGCAUCGAAUGUUUGCUCCAAAUGAUGGCUAGAUUGAACACGAAGACCAGGAUAAGCAUGAUUAUAUGGGAAGAGCAUUCUAACUAGAAUGGGACCUUAUAAACUAGUCUAUGUGAAGAAGAGCUUUCGGAGUUUGAACAACUAAAUUUUUAGUGGCAAGGUUUAGUAUCCCAAAACGUUUGGACUCUUAAAAGUGGUCAAACCACAAGGAAAUUAAAGUUAGUUCGAAUUAAAGAGAGAGUAGGUUCAACUCUCCUUUUGUCCCGCAAACAAUAGUAACUCAAUCAGGAACUUUCUCAAUUGUUGGCCUGGUAUGACUUCAUUUGCGCUAUUGUUGAUAACUUCUUGGUAUACGUAGGCAACGUAGGCUCGAACCCAUGGAUAGUUUAUUCUCAACAUAACACUCAUGACCAACAUAGCUCGUGAAAAAACUAACUUCUAUCAAACCAAUGCAAUACAUCAUAACUUCAAUAGCAAGCGAUUAAUGAUUGAAAACAUAACAUUGAAUUACAGUUUUCAUUCUUUGCCAA
Rhopilema esculentum is the source of this 3048-nucleotide long non-coding RNA. RefSeq lists it as uncharacterized. NCBI's taxonomy places the organism in Eukaryota, Metazoa, Cnidaria, Scyphozoa, Rhizostomeae, Rhizostomatidae. The record is from RefSeq and is a predicted model, not a curated record.